This 83-nucleotide transfer RNA is filed under the name Epibacterium sp. DP7N7-1. RNAcentral's name for it is "tRNA-Leu". The record is from RNAcentral. Lineage: Bacteria; Pseudomonadati; Pseudomonadota; Alphaproteobacteria; Rhodobacterales; Roseobacteraceae.
GCCCCCGUGGCGAAGUUGGUAGACGCGCGAGCUUCAAAAGCUCGUGCCGCAAGGCGUGCCGGUUCAACCCCCGGCCGGGGGCA